GCCGGAGUGGUGGAACUGGUAGACGCGCUGGACUCAAAAUCCAGUAUCCGAAAGGAUGUGCGGGUUCGAUUCCCGCCUCCGGCACCA
This 87-nucleotide transfer RNA is filed under the name Burkholderiaceae bacterium. RNAcentral's name for it is "tRNA-Leu". It matches the Rfam family "tRNA". Rfam says of the family: Transfer RNA (tRNA) molecules are approximately 80 nucleotides in length. RNAcentral also lists the same sequence under 1 other name. The record is from RNAcentral. Lineage: Bacteria; Pseudomonadati; Pseudomonadota; Betaproteobacteria; Burkholderiales; Burkholderiaceae.